This 765-nucleotide long non-coding RNA is filed under the name Sinocyclocheilus grahami. Its description in RNAcentral is "lncRNA (ENSSGRG00000034652.1)". Lineage: Eukaryota; Metazoa; Chordata; Actinopteri; Cypriniformes; Cyprinidae. The record is from RNAcentral.
AUGUUUCUUCUCUUUUGUCACGCAGUUACACAGGCACAAAUACCUACGCUCACAACUUCACAGUCUCUCUUAGUUCUGUGUUUGCCACCCCCAAAGUUCAAAGCAUAAUUUCUACACUGUUGACAGAUCCAACCAUUUACAGUCUCAGUCUCAAGUCACUAGGUAAAACACUGCAACCACACCAAUAUUUUUGGUCACUUGUGUGAUCUAUCCAGCCAUUCCUACCCAUCUUUUUACUAACACAGUAUUUUAUAUUCAUUUGCAGGCAUGGUAUACAUGGAGGCACCUACAGGAAAAGUGUGUUACAAUUCAAGACAACAGCUGAACUGUACCAGUAUAGAGGCUAUGAGCAAGUGCGUGUGGCAGAUGUUCAGAGAUAAUGAAGCAGAAUUGACUCUGGGACCAGGGAGUGAAUUACAGCUGUCAGAUACUUGUACAGAACUUUCAACAAUCACACUUCUAAAGACAAAUGGAUACUGGUCAGGAACGUACAUCUGCCUUUUUGUCACUGGGAACAUAGCUCACAUGGCCAUGGCACCUAUUCAAAUUGCACUUCUGCCAGAGGUCAUUAAUGUGACAAGCAAUCCACAAACUGCAGAUUGUUCUGCAUCAACAUCCACCAAAGUUAGCAUCUUAUGUUCCAUCGAAAACAGUAUUGAAACCUACAGGGCCAUGCUAAAACUCGGAAUUGUUGAAAUUGCACCAGUUAAAGAAGGUAAGGCUAUAAUUAUCUUAUAAAUCUCUCUUUCGAUGCAAUGUGAAGCU